This is a long non-coding RNA of Toxorhynchites rutilus septentrionalis, 1234 nucleotides long. RefSeq lists it as uncharacterized. The record is from RefSeq and is a predicted model, not a curated record. The transcript has 3 exons. NCBI's taxonomy places the organism in Eukaryota, Metazoa, Arthropoda, Insecta, Diptera, Culicidae.
UCGAAUAAACACAAUUCCCCUCACGUAUGAGCUUCAUCCGGGCCACUUGGGUUUAAUUAGCGGUUGCUCUAAAGAGUCAUAGGCGGGUCAAUUUGCAAUUUCCUGUGCAGUAAUUGUGCAGCGUUUUGACCGCAAGCGAUUCCGGUCAGCAUCCGGCUGAUUUGAAGAACUGGUGUUCAAUGAUCAAGGAUGAUAUAAACUCACCGAUCACUAAUAUUCAAUCUCGACCUUAUGAAUUUAUAAAACGCUGUAUCCGCGCUAGGUCCCAGAUGAACUAUGAAUCACGAGGAGAGAAGAAUACGAGCAACGCUCAAGCGCACAUCCAGUCUCCAUUCCCGCCGACGACAGUAAUGAUAUGAAAUUCCAACGAGAAGAAAAAAUAAAUAACGAUAUGGGUGAAAUGUCGGUGAACUUGACAUUUUUAUUACGCAGCGGUGGAUUUUGGCCUCUAGAGCAGCAGUUUCAUUUCGUCGCCAAUUAUUUGCACGUCGUAACAUUCGGAUGACGUCUUCAAUAUACCACACUCUCGACGGGGUGUCUUAUCGUUGAAGUGCACAAUGUCUGAAGAAAGCGUCCCCAGUUAACGUUUCCCAGUUAUACGCGAAAGUGGGAACGAAAUUAGUAUGCAUAGGAUGUUACCUACCAAGGCUAUAAAGCAUGAGAAGUUUAUUCGAGUAUGCAGGGGUCAACUUGUAAAACUUCACGCUCAGACAAGCCUGAUAUUAACAGCCAACACCAUGGGAGAACUCCAUCCCGUGUGAUUCGACCUUCGACAGUUCCAGUUCGCAUGGUUCGCAUGCUGGAUCGAAGCACACUACUCGAUGAUCCCAAGUUAAUAAUGUGCUUAUCUUCGUUCCAAGUGGGGUAGUCAUUCCCAUCAAAUAGUUAACAUCAAAGUUAAUCUGUGAGAGAGAUAAAACAUCAUCGCCUAUGGUGAGGCAAACGAGUUCUUUGCUCCGGAUUUCUUAGGGGGCCAUCGACACAGUGCCCCAAUGAAGACACUGAAGAAAAUUGAAUUUCAUCGCAUACAUUAUGCAGCCAACCUGGAGUCAAACAUCAAUUAUAAAUUUGCAUUUAAUGUUAACUCGCUACUGAGUUGCGGUGGAGAUGAGUUUUUUUUGCGUGUGUUGAUGGGACGGCUUAUUCAUUAUUUGAUUGCCCUCACUAUUGAAGACUUAACAACGAUGCGAUGGUGUUCUAGACAAAUUAUAAAAUUAACUUCUACUGAAGCUGU